RNAcentral lists this ribosomal RNA (395 nucleotides) under uncultured bacterium. RNAcentral describes it as "partial 16S ribosomal RNA". It matches the Rfam family "Bacterial small subunit ribosomal RNA", at positions 523 to 918 of the family's 1533-position model. The record is from RNAcentral.
AUACGUAGGGAGCGAGCGUUGUCCGGAAUUACUGGGUGUAAAGGGAGCGCAGGCGGGGAGACAAGUUGGAUGUCAAAUGGAUCGGCUUAACUGAUUAUCGCAUUCAAAACUGUUUUUCUUGAGUGAAGUAGAGGUUGGCGGAAUUUCUAGUGUAGCGGUGGAAUGCGUAGGUAUUAGGAGGAAAACCAGUGGGGAAGGCGGCCAACGGGGCUUUUACUGACGCUGAGGCUCCAAAGCGUGGGGAGCAAACAGAAUUAGAUCCCCUGGUAGUCCACGCCGUAAACGAUGAAUACUAGGUGUGGGGGGAGUGACCCCUUCCGUGCCGCAGUUAACACAAUAAGUAUUCCGCCUGGGGAGUACGGCCGCAAGGUUGAAACUCAAAUGAAUUGACGGGG